Molecule: ribosomal RNA, 496 nt
Filed under: uncultured bacterium
Lineage: Bacteria
Description: partial 16S ribosomal RNA
Rfam family: Bacterial small subunit ribosomal RNA
Source: RNAcentral
AUGAACGCUGGCGGCGUGCCUAAUACAUGCAAGUCGAGCGAACAGACGAGGAGCUUGCUCCUUUGACGUUAGCGGCGGACGGGUGAGUAACACGUGGAUAACCUACCUAUAAGACUGGGAUAACUUCGGGAAACCGGAGCUAAUACCGGAUAACAUGUUGAACCGCAUGGUUCAACAGUGAAAGACGGUCUUGCUGUCACUUAUAGAUGGAUCCGCGCCGCAUUAGCUAGUUGGUAAGGUAACGGCUUACCAAGGCAACGAUGCGUAGCCGACCUGAGAGGGUGAUCGGCCACACUGGAACUGAGACACGGUCCAGACUCCUACGGGUGGCAGCAGUAGGGAAUCUUCCGCAAUGGGCGAAAGCCUGACGGAGCAACGCCGCGUGAGUGAAGAAGGUCUUCGGAUCGUAAAACUCUGUUAUUAGGGAAGAACAAAUGUGUAAGUAACUAUGCACGUCUUGACGGUACCUAAUCAGAAAGCCACGGCUAACUACGUG